Molecule: ribosomal RNA, 465 nt
Filed under: uncultured bacterium
Lineage: Bacteria
Description: partial 16S ribosomal RNA
Rfam family: Bacterial small subunit ribosomal RNA
Source: RNAcentral
GACGAACGCUGACGGCGUGCUUAACACAUGCAAGUCGAACGGAAAGGCCCUGCUUGCAGGGUACUCGAGUGGCGAACGGGUGAGUAACACGUGGGUGAUCUGCCCUGCACUUCGGGAUAAGCCUGGGAAACUGGGUCUAAUACCGGAUAGGAGCCAUUUUUAGUGUGAUGGUUGGAAAGUUUUUUCGGUGUAGGAUGAGCUCGCGGCCUAUCAGCUUGUUGGUGGGGUAAUGGCCUACCAAGGCGGCGACGGGUAGCCGGCCUGAGAGGGUGGACGGCCACAUUGGGACUGAGAUACGGCCCAGACUCCUACGGGAGGCAGCAGUGGGGAAUAUUGCACAAUGGGCGCAAGCCUGAUGCAGCGACGCCGCGUGGGGGAUGACGGCCUUCGGGUUGUAAACUCCUUUCGCUAGGGACGAAGCUUUUUGUGACGGUACCUAGAUAAGAAGCACCGGCUAACUACGUG